UUAUGGGAGACGGUCCAAACUGAGGAUGCUCUCAAAUUCGAAUUCGAUUUGUGACACCAGCCUUGUAGUCCUCGGCUCUUUCAACUUUUGACAGCUAGUACCCCAUUACAAUUAGUGUUAUUUCAGGUAGAGAAGCAGGUAUUGAUAAUUUGCAAAUUUUCCAUCAGGUUCUAAACUCUCCAUAGGGGCCGGGCCGGUCCGGGCCAGUCCAACCACGUUCGGUGGUUUCUUCUUCCCACUCUGUUUCCAUGUUCUCAUCAUUAGGCUAUUCUCUAUUGGCUUUGAAGGGGCAUUUCACUCUUUCAUCCAUAACUUGUUAGUAUAUUACUUUGGUACCAUAUAUUUCCGUCUUGCUGUUGAGGUCAAACUCGAAUUCCAAACCAACCAACACAUAAAAUUGAAACCAAAUUGAAGUAUAUUAUUGAUUAUUCAAUCAUGAUCAUAUGUUGCGUGAUACAACUUUUGGAAACACAGAAAAAACAACACAUUUGAAAGGAAAGCUAUAAUUUAUGUUUAGAGUUCAUCCUUGGGAGAAUAUGAAGGUCCAGUAGGAUUAGAGGAUGAGUUCUUGAUGGGAUAUGAAGCCUCCAUUGCUAUACCACACAGUCCUUGUUUGUCUCUGAUCCCACGUUCCAUCCUUAUGUAACCUUUCUCACCCCAUUCCGCUCCCCAUGAGUUCUUCACUAUCCAGUACUUGGUUCCAUCCAAGGUUGUUCCAUACCCCACUGCUGCUACCCCAUGGUUCAGCUCUGUCCCACAUUCUCCCGUGAAUACCCCCUCGGAGUAGAACUGGAAAUCCAUACUCCCAGCAUCAAUAGCCACUGAAACCGGCUGGUUUGCAACAGCUUUAAGCAGAGCAUCCUCGUCGUUAGCUGGCACAUUCUCGUGCCCAUCGAUAGCCACUGCCGGAGAAUUCACCUUGGCAGCAUCGCAACUUCCAUCAUUAGCUUGGUAAGGGUAAUUGGACUCAGUAGUAAUCCCACCUUUCUUCUUAAUGAAAUCGAAUGCAAUGUCCAUUAAACCACCAUUGCAACCUUGGUUUUCUUCAGUGUCGCAAUCUAUCAAUUCUUGCUCCG
This 1076-nucleotide long non-coding RNA is filed under the name Gossypium barbadense (sea-island cotton). Its description in RNAcentral is "long non-coding RNA (GBAR_LNC015016)". Lineage: Eukaryota; Viridiplantae; Streptophyta; Magnoliopsida; Malvales; Malvaceae. The record is from RNAcentral.